UUUGUUAUCUGGCUUUCUGCUAUCCACUGACUCUGGUUGCAGACCAGAAGUAAAAUGUUCACUUUGAGAUCAAAUUAGGCCCACCAGUGCAAACCUUAGUUGUGGCAACAGGAACAUUUAAUUCGCUUCUGGCAGUUUGAUGCUGAUUGACAUCUCAUUUCAACGUUAGGCAGCGCAUUUUUCAAAUCGAGGACGAGAGAAUAUUAAUAAGGUUAGUUGCGAAAUACAUAUGAAUAAGAAGAACAUACAGAAGAAGAGAGAAUAUUUCCACAGCUCCACGAACUCUUUAAAGCGAUUGGCGAAAGCAUCAUAUUUGAAGGUCAAUUAAACAGGAAAAGAAAGGGAGAGAUAUCAGACUUCUGUUCCAAAUGGGCCCAAUGGUAAGCCAGGCCUAUACUUUAAACUACACAUUUUAGUUAGUAGCUGUUAGUAUCUAAUCUUGUGGAUCCUUUAAUUAUACAUUUCCAUAGAGAUAUGACACAUUAUUUAACGUCUAUUUCAGACAUGUUUGCAAACAUUUCCCAGAACUCUUUCAGGAGCUUUCAACAGCUCCUGGUAUAAGGACAAUUCAUGGCUUGAAUAUUCUGUAAAUCAAGAUUAAUUUUUCUCUGCCCAAUACACCUGAAUCUGCCUUCACAUCACAGUCGCAGUUUAAAGAUUCUGGGUUUAAGCUCCAUUCGAAGGCAGAGCAUCAUAUCAAUGCUAUGUAUGCUUGGGAUCAGUAUAAAAGGGCCAUUGACAGCAACUCAUCAAUGUUAGAUGUCAUAAAUGAGGACCGGGAAAAGAAAGUGAAGGAAAACUGUACUUACCUUAAAACAAUUGCAGAUGUGCUCCUACUAAUUGCCACUCAAAAUAUAGCGCAGAGGUCAUCGAGAGUCUAAUGACUCUCACAACAAGGGUCAUUUUUUGACAAUCUUAGAAGAAAUAGCAAUGUAGGACCCUCUCAUAGAGAAAAAGAUGAAUGCAUGUGGCAAUGCUAAGUACACAAGCCACCAAAUCCAGAAGGAAGUUGUUGAGGGCUUAGCUGAGAUGGUACAAAGUAAAAUAAUAAGAGAAGUAAAAGAAAGUGAAGUUUUUAGUGUAAUUGCAGAUGAAACCAAAGAUUUAAAGAAAAAAGAACAAAUGGCUUUAGUUGUGAGGUACAAUUACAAUGGGGCCAUCCACGCAGCAGGUCUCACAAAAAUGAUAAUUGAUUGCCUUGAAAAACAUGGUCUGGACUACAUGGCAUGCCAUAAUCUGAGGGACAGUCUUCCAGCAGUUAUGAGAGUGCUACAGGAUAUCACACUUGAAAAUAGUGGUGAUGGAUCAGUGGAGGCAAGGGGCAUUUUUCUCAGAUAGAUUUACAUUUCAUAGGGCUUUUGGUUACCUUUUGUAAAGUGCUUGGUGAUGCCAAAUGUCUUUCUGACAUGUUCCAAUCAAGCUCUCUUGACCUAGCAAGGGCUGUGGAUCUAGUAGGUGCCCUUAUAGACAUUUCAGGACUAUAGAAGUGAGUGUUACUUUGGAGAACUAUGGAAAGAGGUUGAAGAGAUUGCCGAGCACUGCAAAAUAAGUGUACAAACAGUGUGUAAAAAAACCCAGCCUAAAACAAGCUUAAGAUUUCACGACUCAUUGAUGAUGAGCACUGUAGGACAGAAAAAUAGUGACCAAAGUGAUGGUGAGAGCCUCCAAAGAAGCUCUCACCAAGCUCUCACCAGGUGCUUGACAGUCUCACAGCUGAGCUGCAGAGGUGUUUUUCAAAGAAGAAUUGCAAGAUAAUGCAAGGGGUCCAGUCUCUCAAUCCAAAGAAUACAACGUUCUUGAAUGAGGAGCCUCUGUUUGCCUUUGCUCAGAACUUUGAGUCAGAUUUAGAGGACCUCAACAUGAGGUUCAUCAAACCAAGCG
Molecule: long non-coding RNA, 1881 nt
Filed under: Salmo salar (Atlantic salmon)
Lineage: Eukaryota; Metazoa; Chordata; Actinopteri; Salmoniformes; Salmonidae
Description: lncRNA (ENSSSAG00000087045.1)
Source: RNAcentral